This is a long non-coding RNA of Eriocheir sinensis (Chinese mitten crab), 4292 nucleotides long. RefSeq lists it as uncharacterized. The transcript has 2 exons. The record is from RefSeq and is a predicted model, not a curated record. Lineage: Eukaryota; Metazoa; Arthropoda; Malacostraca; Decapoda; Varunidae.
UAGGUUGGCUAAGGACAGGGGAGUGGCAAGGGAGGGCACAAGGGAUGGGUCAGCUCCAUCGAUGCACCCCAGCAGUAAGUUACCUGGCGGGCGGCGCACCUGAGCCGCCGAGAGGCCCCCGGGACAUGCCCUGCGGUAUUCCCGUAUUAGGUAAACAACUCCUGACCGACCCUUCGUCCCUCUCGCCUCCUCCACCUUGCCUCUCCUCAUCCCGUCUACCCAGGGCCCUCACAGCACCACACAUCCCUCCCUCGGGGUUCGCUUAACACCCAUAGCAUAGUAUAUUCGAUAAUUAAUCCUUUCUGCCUUCUUUUUUCUACGUCUGGCACCGAGCAAGUGUAGUGCACGUGUCUGUCGCUGGUCUCGCGCGGUGACUUUUAGCCAGGCUGCUUUCUAGCGUUUACUAUCACGGAUACUCAUCUCCCUCGACGCCUCUACACGCCAAACAGGUAUCGUCUACAUAAUCAAGUGUAUUUAACGGGCCCGCAUGAUAGAUUCCUUUGCUAAAUAAUUGCUAUAACACGUUGCCCGCGGCGCGAACAAGUCCACAUUCCAGAGUCACCGCAAUGCCUCCCCGCCUGGCUCCUCCCACCCGCCCUCCAAUUGGCCCGCGACCCUCCUCUCCUCUUUCUCAUUGGUCGCUGGCUUCAAAAUCUGAGUUCUCAUUGGCAGUCGAGUAUCCUUGGACUCGGCACGGGAAGCAGUACAAACCCCUGCACCGUGAUUUCUGUUCACCACAGCCUACCUGACCACGACCAGAGACGGACGUGUCCAGUGAGCCUCCUGCCAGCACACCCUCUGUACGCCCGCCGCCCCAACUCUGCACCAUGAAGGCCCAAGUGUGUGAAGCCCCGAUGACCAGCAUUCCCGCCAUCAGGAGCGGGAAGGUGUCCAAGAGCCGAGAGGAGGACUUCGAGAUCUCCCUUUACCUGGACAAGCUGAGGCACCUGUUGCCCGCUACCACCACCACCACCGCCCCCAGCGCCCCCACCAGAAAAUCCCACGACAAGAAGCUAAACAGACUGGAGGUGAUCGAGAAUGUGAUCCAGUACAUCAGCGAGCUGCAGGAAGUUCUCAACAUCGACGUGCACGCCCGCGAGAUGGACCUCCUGGAGUACGAGACGAGCAGCAUCACCCUUGCCGCGUGAGGAAGCUGCCAGCGAGAGGAGAGAGUCGCCGCGGCCUGCACCUCGCCCGCCACGCACGCACGCACGCACACCAGCCUUGAGGUCCUCCCGCACCUGUUACACGACCUCGCUCGCCUCACCAGCGGAGAGAGCGAGGGGGAGGGAGGGAGGACCCGACCAACCUCGUCUGUAGGACACCAGGAAGAUAGCAAUUACCUGGCGAGUACCUGCGGGGCCACUCAAGCGAAACUGACCCCGACCCGACAACUUCCACCUGCUAAAAAUCUGACGGAUAUGAAUCGGUUCCCUGGUGCUGCGUGUGCGUGUGUGCGUGCCUGUAACUCAUGACUAGCGGCGAGUGCAGUGCCCCGCUCGGUGAACUCCAGUGACAAAGUUCCUAGAGAAGUGACCGCGAGUCGCCGCCCGAUUUGAGCGACUCGAGAUAAAACUAACAAGAACAAAGAAAUUCCAGUGUUUGUUGUGUGUGUGCGUGUGUAUUAGUCUGUUGGUAGAAAAAUCAUACAGUACAAGAACACCCAUCACCACCCCCACCCCGACGUCGUUGCUGCAGAGGCGCCGCGCGUCCUGCAGGGGCGCGACAAACUGUUGUAACUCAUGAUCUCGUGGAGGCGCUGCUCCGCGGACCUCCAGCUGCCGCCACCUAAGUGUCCCCGCCGGUUGUGUACUUCGUCCUGAGAGCGACUGACACUCAUUCAUUCCUCACGACGCCCCACUCCACGACGUCCCUCACACCCUUCCCCUACACCCGUCUCGCCUCCAAGUCCCGCUCCACUGUCGUACAAGCCACCAGACUGGCCAUGGCAUACCUUGGCAGGCAUCGCAUCACUCGUCACCUCUCGGCGUUGCUUCCUCACAAAGGAGCGACGUCCCCGCGACAACACCCGCGGACCCAAGGCGCCCAAACCCAAUCCCAAGAAGGUGACGUCACCAAAAGAAAUGCUGCCCCUUCGUGAUCUGACGGCCCAUCACCCUCCCACCUGCCUCGAAGAUGUUAUCACGAAGGGCGUGACGAGGAUCGAGAUCCUGCGGUUCCAGCUAAGUGCGUUCGGGCCGGGUGAGAGGCGAAGGGAGGAGAUGCGGGGAGCUCGGAGCGGAUCCUCGGUAACCUGAGAUGCUGAAGAACGUUAUCCCUCCCGAGGCUCGGCCAGCCCGCGGCCGCGACAGGUGCACCUCCCGGGCCCGGCCACGCUCGGCCAUCCCCUCCCUUGCCUCGCCCGCCCGCCCGCCGGGGGACCACCCACCCGGCCCGCCUCACUGGCACCGCUGGCAACCGAGAUGUGAAGAACAUUUCUCGCCUCGCUGCCCCUCAAGGCGAUUACCAGUGCCCGCGCCCGCCGUCGGCCGGGCCCUCCACGCCAGGACACGAACACUGUUGUAGAUUAAAAUGGAUUCGGUGCUACAAAUCGCAAGGUGCUUGUUACUCCUUCCCCUGCCCCUCUCAGUCCCCCCGCCCCGGCCACUCAGCCAGGGACGCCGCGUGGCAAGAGUCAGGUCGGCUUCUUCGGCUGGCUGGGGGGGGGGACCUGUGGUGGUUCUCCCCGACUGUUUACAAAUAUCUCACCAAGCUUCGUAAUUACUUUGGUCGCUUAUUAUUUUUAUAUAGGACAUAGUGUUUGGAUGUGUGUGUGUGUGUGUGUAUGUGUGUGUAUGUAUGCGCACGAGCGAGUCAUUCUCAUUGCCCCAUCGUGAGUGUUGCAAGUGUUGUGUGGGUGUGUUGUGGCGAGGCGCGUGGUGAGUGUUGCUCCGCCUCAAAGAACAACGUCCACCCUCGUUAGGCGGGGCAGGGGGGCGGGGAGGGGAGGGUUGCCUAAUCUCUGGGUCCUCGCGCUGAUCCCACCUGCAGAUUACACACACACACACACACACACACACUGAAUGAGUCCCUCGGUUCUUCUCCCACUCUGCCUUCCUUUCUCCCUCCUCCUCCUUCUCUCCCUCUUCAGACUCCCUCCACGACAAAAGGACUGCUUAAUGGGCGGUUUGGAGGUCGUGUAAGAGAUCUUGAGGCCUGAUUGUUCUUUCCCUCCACCUCCCCUUCCUCCCUCCCCCUCUCAUCCCCUCCUUCCACCAUCACGAAGGAAAGAAAACAUUGAAACUUCACUGUAAAGAGGACCGGAGCAGGUGGGAUUCUGUCGCCAUGGUCCAGCGUUUUGGUUACCUUUUCCUCCUUUCAUUUUUUUUUUUUUUAUCUCCCUCCUUUUGCACUUUGUUGGAGGUGGUGGUGGUGGUGGUGGUGUCCGGUGGAGGAGCAAGCGUCCCCUCCACCGUCAUUACUUAUCAUGAUGACCUGUUACUGUUGUCAUCGUCGUCGUUGUUGUUGAUGUUGUUGUUGUUGGGUUAUCAUGUAUACUCUGCCGGGUUACCCUCAUCCUCAUUACUACCGUUGCUGCUUUUGUGCUGCCGCUAAUGUCGCUUGUAUUACCAUUUACUACCAUUACCACCAACAACAACUACGGCUUCAGUCUCCUACUAAUACAGCAGCCCUCUCACUCGCCUCUCAUUGUUCUAUAUCAUGAUGUCAUUGUAAGUCUUGGAGCACAGAGAGAAAAACUACAUUGUUCAUCCAUUUUGCCGAUCAGUAAAAAUGUGAGAAAAUGUAUAAAAAAAUGUUUUGUUGAUGAUUAGGCGUGCAGUAUAUGUAAAAACGGAGGAAUUUAUUGUUAUUAUCAUUAUCAUUAUUUUUUCAUGGGGCAUUUUUUUAAAGUCUUGUGAUUCUGUGAAGAUUGCCGUGGCUAGGCGAGGGGGGUUGGGGGGUGGGUGGGGGGUGUUGGGCAAAGUGGCAGCGGGUUCCGGGGCGCACACGAGGCCACUCAAAUAUACACCUGACAGGAAGUAGAAAAAAAAAAAUGAUAAUGUCCCUGAAAAAUUAAAAAGGAAAAUAAAACAAAUGUAAAAUGCUAAACAACUGCAUUAUUGUUUUUACAUUCUCCAAUGUUUGUAAAUGAACGUCGAUAGGAGAAAAAAAUCGCGUUACGUAGAAUGCUAAAUCACUGGACCUUUUCAUUGUUAUAUUUGCUGUGUGUCUACCCCCGUGUGGCGCCCCUGGACUCGCUCUCUCAUGACUCCUGUGAUAGUCCGGCCUUUGUGGUCCGCGCCGGCAACCAAUGUGUAUAUUUAUUGUAAUUAAACUUCCAUUUUGUAUAA